GCGGGUAUAGUUUAGUGGUAAAAUAACAGAUAUCUACCUGUUCUAUAUCUAUCUAUAUAGAUAGAAUAGGUAGAU
This 75-nucleotide transfer RNA is filed under the name Pinus aristata. Its description in RNAcentral is "tRNA-Gly". Lineage: Eukaryota; Viridiplantae; Streptophyta; Pinopsida; Pinales; Pinaceae. RNAcentral also lists the same sequence under 1 other name. The record is from RNAcentral.